GAUGAACGCUGGCGGCGUGCCUAAUACAUGCAAGUCGAGCGAACAGACGAGGAGCUUGCUCCUUCGACGUUAGCGGCGGACGGGUGAGUAACACGUAGGUAACCUACCUAUAAGACUGGGAUAACCUCGGGAAACCGGAGCUAAUACCGGAUAAUAUUUCGAACCGCAUGGUUCGAUAGUGAAAGAUGGCUUUGCUAUCACUUAUAGAUGGACCUGCGCCGUAUUAGCUAGUUGGUAAGGUAACGGCUUACCAAGGCAACGAUACGUAGCCGACCUGAGAGGGUGAUAGGCCACACUGGAACGGAGACACGGUCCCGACUCCUACGGGAGGCAGCAGUAGGGAAUCUUCCGCAAUGGGCGAAAGCCUGACGGAGCAACGCCGCGUGAGUGAUGAAGGUCUUCGGAUCGUAAAACUCUGUUAUUAGGGAAGAACAAACGUGUAAGUAACUGUGCACGUCUUGACGGUACCUAAUCAGAAAGCCACGGCUAACUACGUG
RNAcentral lists this ribosomal RNA (497 nucleotides) under uncultured bacterium. Its description in RNAcentral is "partial 16S ribosomal RNA". It matches the Rfam family "Bacterial small subunit ribosomal RNA", at positions 28 to 507 of the family's 1533-position model. The record is from RNAcentral.